UACGGAGAGGGCGAGCGUUACUCGGAAUCACUGGGCGUAAAGGGUGCGUAGGCGGGUAAGGAAGCCUGAUGUGAAAACUCCACGGCUCAACCGGGAGAUUGCAUUGGGAACUCCUUACCUAGAGGGUGCGAGAGGAUAGCGGAAUUCCUGGUGUAGCGGUGGAAUGCGUAGAUAUCAGGAGGAACACCGGAGGCGAAAGCGGCUAUCUGGCGCACACCUGACGCUGAGGCACGAAAGCUAGGGGAGCAAACAGG
Molecule: ribosomal RNA, 254 nt
Filed under: uncultured microorganism
Description: partial 16S ribosomal RNA
Rfam family: Bacterial small subunit ribosomal RNA
Source: RNAcentral